CUUGCUUAUAGAGCAAGCUGUGCAUCGCUUGUGGGUCUUUCGUCUUUGCUGAUCUUCACUUCGCUGAGACAGCAGAGAACUUCUGCCACCGUCACACCUGUGAAUGGAACUGCCGAUGUCCAGACAACACAGACCGGAGUUGCUCCAAAGAACCAUUUCCAAACAGCGUGGCGCAUAGAGUAGGCACCUUCUGAGGUCAUUGCUACAUGGAAAGAUAUGGACGAAACGAAGCAGCCCCUUCAUAACCCAGCCUCGAGGAACACUUUGGGAAACACUAAGGCACAUGAGUGAGGGAGAAAUAUCAACAGUGUUGUCGCUGCUGAUUUAAGAAGCUGUGCUAUCAGACGAUUUGUGCACGUGGCUGCUGCUGAUCUUGCCACAAGGGGGCGCUGCCGGAGGCCACCGAAGCUGGUUUUAAAAGCUCUGAUGCAAAAAACAAUUCCAGAGGGAAGCUCACGUGUCUUUAAGUCCUACAGGUUUUGAUGUCGGCAGAAGCCAAAUACCCUGCCUUUUAUGACAACGGCAUUGAUGACUCCGUUUCCCCCAGCACGAGGGUGAAGAAGACCAGCAAUCUCCCUCCCCGCCGUCACUUCUGCGCAGAAUCGUUUCCUCUCAGAUGGAAGCGAUUUUUCAUUAGCGUAAAUGGAUGCAUGUUUUAUAAACACGGGCCAUGUGUUUCAUAUUCCAUUCAUGUUUAUUUACACAUCCUGUAAACACGUGUAUACAAAGCCACACGGACACGUGGGGGCGGGGAGGGCAUGGAGCACUACGCAUGGAAAAUACCACACUAGGCGGAUGUCCCUCGGAGGGUAAAUCCACCACCCAAAGAUUCCCAUCUACCUUCUUACUACCUUUGGGGCGGUUGGGGACAGGGGAGGAGGGGAGGGUUGUCCUAUAGGGACUCGGACAUUCAGAUUUUCCUCAGCCUCCUUUCUCCCCUUCAGAUGCCCAGCUUUCUUAAGGCUCCGAUUUAUUGAAAAUAAUAAUAAUAAUAAUAAUAAUAAUAAUAAUAAUAAUAAUAAUAAAGUAUCAAUGAUCUCCAC
Rattus rattus (black rat) is the source of this 1043-nucleotide long non-coding RNA. RefSeq lists it as uncharacterized. The record is from RefSeq and is a predicted model, not a curated record. Lineage: Eukaryota; Metazoa; Chordata; Mammalia; Rodentia; Muridae. The transcript is spliced from 3 exons.